RNAcentral lists this ribosomal RNA (617 nucleotides) under Brevundimonas diminuta. Its description in RNAcentral is "bacterial SSU rRNA". It matches the Rfam family "Bacterial small subunit ribosomal RNA", at positions 95 to 746 of the family's 1533-position model. The record is from RNAcentral. Lineage: Bacteria; Pseudomonadati; Pseudomonadota; Alphaproteobacteria; Caulobacterales; Caulobacteraceae.
CUGGCGGACUGGUGAGUAGCCGUGGGAUCGUGCCUUUAAGUUCGGAAUAUCUCCUGGAAACGGGUGGUAAUGCCGAAUGUGCCCUUCCGGGGAAAGAUUUGUCGCCUUUAGGGCAGCCCGCGUCUGAUUACCUACUUGGUGAGGUAACGGCUCACCACUGCGACGAUCAGUAACUGGUCUGAGAGGAUGACCACCCACACUGGGACUGAAACACGGCCCAUACUCCUACAGGAGGCACCAGUGGGGAAUCUUGCGCAAUGGGCGAAAGCCUGACUCAUCCAUGCCGCGUGAAUGAUGAAUGUCUUAAGAUUGCAAGAUUCUUUCACCGCGGACGAUUGUGACGGUACCCGGAUAAGAAGCCCCGGCUAACUUCUUGCCAUCAGCCGCUGUAAUACUAAGGGGGCUAGCGUUGCUCGGAAUUACUGGGCGUAAAGGGCGCGUAAGCGGAUCGUUGCGUCAGAGGUGAAAUCCCACGGCUCAACCCUGGAACUGCCUUUGAUACUGGCGAUCUUGAUUAUGACACAGGUAUGUGCAACUCCACUUGUAUAGGUGAAAUUAAUAUAUAUUCUGAAAAACGCCGUUGGCAAAAUGCUACGUACUGGGCUCAAUACCGACGC